This 3664-nucleotide long non-coding RNA is filed under the name Marmota monax (woodchuck). The record is from RNAcentral. Lineage: Eukaryota; Metazoa; Chordata; Mammalia; Rodentia; Sciuridae.
CAAAGGGUAAGAAAAUUUAAGUGUUUAUUUUGGAAUAUUCCUGCGUAUGUAACUGGUUUACUUAUUUUAUAUAAAGUAGUUUAUCAAAUUAAUCAGCAGAAAGAUGUAUGGAACAUCCCACCCCUGGCACCCCACCAAGUGUGGAGUUGUAUUUAUGGCCAGAGAAGAGGAAGGGAUAACACAAAACCAAGCUUGGUCACACACAGUUGGCAUUUGCCUGACGUGGAUAAGUUCUAAUCAGCCGGCAACCUGUGAUUAGCGAGACUCAGUUGCUUGGUUAUUUUAAUUCAGUUCAGUAUUUUUUCUUAUUUUCCUGUGAUAUCGUUGUUGAUCCAUUGAUUACUUAGAAGUAUAUUUAAUUUCUAAACAUUUUAAGGACUUUCUUUCCAAGUAUCUAUUUUAGAUUUCCAGGAAUCACUAAAUCAAGUGAAGACUGUACAGUUACCAGGAAAGUGAGUUUAUUUCACUGUCGUCAGAGACCAUAUGUGUGAUAGUUAAUCUUGAUUGGCAGCUUGGAAUGAGAGGCCCAGCAAUCCAGUAAAGCACACUUCUGGGUGUGUCAGAGAGGGCUUACGGAGAUGACUGACAUGUGGGCCGGCCAACUGGGAGGGCCACCCGCACUGUCCGACAGACCGGGCCUGUGGAGCCGGUGGAGGAGCCCCAGCUUGGUGAGCUUGGUUCUUCUCGGGUGGGUGGGCUGCUGCCAUGCCGUGGCGUCAGCCUCCGCUUCAGCCCUCAUCCUGGGCUCUGGGUGGCUCUCCAGGACCACCAGCCGGGGCUGCAGCACUGGAACCGCUUGCCCUGAGGCUUCCUCUUUCUUGGUUGGAGCAGCUGUUGGUUUCCCUGGCUCCAGGUGCAGACAACCACCGUGGGACUGCCCAGCCUCUGCUUGUGUGAGCCAAUGCAAUAAGCAGGACGUGUAACAUAGAUAGGUGCAGUGCAGAGACAAGCCUAUUCUAAUGGCUGUGGUCGUUUACAGAUGGGACUGAUAUACUGACUCCAUCCUUUUAUAUUCACUGGGCCUUGUUUAUGGCCAGCACCUUGGUCUGUCCUGAUGAACGCCCCUGUGGACUUUGAAAGGAUGUGUGCUCCACCAUUGGGUGGAGUGCUUGGUGGGUACCAGCUCAGUCAAGCAGAUUGAUGGAGGUACUCGUGCUCCACCUCACUGCCGUCAGUUCUUGAGCAAAUGUCGAUUAUGUGUUCUCACUGUCCCUCUUCCAUCUGUUCGGUUUUAUCUUCGUGCAGUACCACCUGCCAGUAGCACUGCUCUGAAGACCAAGCCUUCAACAACACGAAUCCUCCUGUCUCAGCCUCCUGAGGCACUGUGAUCCCGGGCCAGCCUGAGCAACUUAGCAAGGUCCUGUCUCAGUACAAAGGGCUGGGGAUGUGGCUCAGUGGGAAAGCCCUCCUGGGUUCAAUCCCCUGCCCCCACCAAAUGAUCCAAACUAGCAGUAGCCAAACAUUUUUAAAAUGGGGUCGGACUUGCACUUCCAACCUGCCUGUCCCUUUGUAUCUAGAGUGGCUCUCUUGUAGACAGCACAUAGUUAGCCCUGCUCUAAAAAAACUCCCAUUAAGUUGUUCCUAGGCUGUUUGUCUCCUAGGUCUUACCCCAUUUGUUCCUUUCCCUGCCUUUUUUUGGAUUAAUAGAGAUUUUCUUUUCUUCUAGGUUUUCCUUAUUAGCUUAUUACACCUCUGCUUUACUAGUGCUGGCUCUCGGGUCUGUCUCCAAUACGCAUCUGUAACAUACCACCAUCUACCUUGAGUAAUGCAGCAUGGCUUAAGAGCCUCCCGCUUGGUGUCCCAUGAGACCACCACACACUUUAUUUCUACGUGUUGUGAAUUCCACAAUACAUUGUUAUUUUGGAUUCACACACUUAUCUUUUGGAAAGAUUAAAAAAUAAGAAAAAAGUAUGAUAUUUUCCCACAUAUUUACCAUUUUCUGUGGUUGCCUCGAAUAGAUCCAAAGAUGCCCCUUUAUUCUGCCUACAGAUAACCACCUUUAAUAAUUUUUGAAUUUAGUUCUGAUAGUGUUGGAUUUUCUCUGCUUUUGUUUGUCUGAAAAAACGACUUGCCUUUACUUUGAAAGAUUUUUUGGUUGGACUUAAAAUUUUAGGUGAUAGUUUUAAAAUUUUUUUCUAAAGAAAAUGCUUUGAUUUUUGAAUUUAACUUUAUUUUUUUUCAAAGCAAUUUUAGGUUUUCAGCGAAAAUCAGCAGAAGAUGGAGAUUUCCCAUACAUCCUCUGCACCCUUACAGGCAGACACCACCAGUUGCCACCAUCCCCGCCCCAGUGUCGCACCUAUGCCGAAGAGCCUGCUCCAACCCAGCACUGUCCCUCAGUCUGGGGUCUACAUGAGAGCCACUCUUAGUGUUUUGGUUCUGUGGACAGAGUCACAGUGACAUGUGCCUGCCCUCACAGUGGCAUGCAGGUCGUUUUUCUCCCCUGCCCCUGUGCUCUGCCUCGUCACCCCUCCCUGGCACCACUGAUCUUUUACUGCGUCCAGGGUUCUGCGUUUCCAGAAAGUCCUUGGUUCGAUGCCUCAUAGCGCACAGCCUUCUCAGACUGGUGCCUUCCACGUGGCGCCCUCUCCCCAGGGUUCCAGACCCACUGAAGUGCUGAGGAACUUCCACUGUGUGCAUGUGCCACAGGGCUCACGUGUCUGCUAGCGGACACUCUGUUACUUCCAGGUGGCCGCAGUUAUGAACCCCUGUGAGGAGUCUUUGCGUGGAUGUGACAUUUCAGCUCCUUUGAGAAGAUACCACGGGAUGCGCUGUGGAUUUCACUGCGAGAGUUUGUUUAGUUUUGUAGGAAUCUGCCCAGCUUUCUUCCAAGGUGGCUGAGCCAUCCUGCACCCCCACCAGCAAUGACUGGGAGCCAGAGUUGCUCCACAUCCUUGCUGGCCUUUGGAGGGAUCAGAGUUCUGGAUUUUGGCCACCUGAACAGGUGUUAAAGUGCCAUCUCAUUUUAGGCUGCACUUCCCUGACAACAUGAUGUGUAACAUCUCUUCCUCUGCUUAUUUGCCAUCUGCAUCUCUUCUUUGGUGAGUGACAAAGGCAUUACAAGAAAACCAUAGACCAAUAUGUCUGGUGAACAUAAAUGCAAAAACCCUCUACAAAAUAUUAGUAUAUUGAAUCUAAAGAAAAAAGAAUUAUACUCCAUGACUAAGUGGGAUUUAUUCCAGGUGCGCAAGGCCGGUUCAACAUUUGGAAAUCAAUUAAUAUAAUCCAUCACACAUUAGUAGGCUAAAGAAAAACGUCACAUGAUCAUGAUGGUGUAGAUAGGUACAGGAAAAGCAUUUGACAAAAUCCAACACUCAUGACAAAACUCUCAGUAAACUAGGAAUACAGGGAAACUUGUUAAAAUCAGUAAAGAUUAUUUAAAAAAAAGCUAACAUCAUACUUAAUAGUGAGAAUGUUAUGUUUGGGUACAAAAUGAAACCAGCUAAGGAGCUAUGUUAUGGGAAGGAUGGAAAUCACACAAAGAAGCAAACCCCGGGCUGGUGCACCAAAUCCUUGAGUCCAACAACGGAACCAGCCCUUCAAGAUUAAAGGAGGCCCUCAUUAUACAAAAUACAUGUGUGAAUAUGUGAAUUUGGUGUCAACAUACCUUAUAUAUAAUCAGAGAUAUGAUAAAUUAAGGUAUAAUGGUGUAUUAAGAAUUGUAAUG